Daphnia pulicaria is the source of this 1430-nucleotide long non-coding RNA. RefSeq lists it as uncharacterized. NCBI's taxonomy places the organism in Eukaryota, Metazoa, Arthropoda, Branchiopoda, Diplostraca, Daphniidae. The transcript is spliced from 6 exons. The record is from RefSeq and is a predicted model, not a curated record.
GGUACAAUAGCCACAAGGCUUAAGAGGUGAGGGUGAGAAGAAAUCGUAUAAAAGGAGAGAGAAAAAGUGAAUGACAUCAGUCGAAUGAUCAUCUCCGACACGUCAACAACUGGAUUCUUCGUCGUAUUACCAGUUCGCAAUCCGGUUAACUUUGCCGUUGUGCUGCUAUUGGUUAUUGUAUCGUCGAUGGCUGGGUCGAUCAAGGGUGUACCGAUGUCUCUUGGGUAUGGCGGUUACCAAACCGCAACGCCUCCGCCUUACUGCAAAACAACAUACGCAACGACUAGUUACUACACCGAAGUUGCACAGUUAGGUGUACAGUUACACCACCACGGGUCAAGAUUAUUACACCACAACUUGUGCUGCUCCAAGCUACUACACCGAAGCCCCGAAGUUUUGUUCUUCCCCGAGGUACACAAGACACAACCAAAGCGCUAGAGUACUACACCACUCAGGUAUGCUGCCUCAACCUACGACACCGAGGCUUCAGCUUAGUCGAAUACUACACAGAAGCGCCCAAGUACGAUAGAAAUCAGUCGAGUGAGCAUCUCCGACACCCAACACGGCAGCCCCGAAAUUUCGAAUAAACUUCGUUUCAAUCAGUGGAACGGCAAAGAGUGAAGACGAAUUCUACUGCAAUCCCGUCGGAUUGAACGGUGAAGAUAACGGCGGCGUAGCAGUCGUACGUGGACACCGCGUCGUUAAACUUGACAUUGUCGGUCGGAAAGCCGAACUUGACGAUAGUCGUACCAUCACUUAAUACGACAAGUGUGUUAUUGCCACGGGUGGUAAACGAAACACUUUUCCAAUCCCUAAGCGGUGCCCCUAAUGAUUUCCAGGAGUACGUAACGCUGUUCCGCAACAUCGAUGGCGAUAACAAAGGCCGAGUCCCCCUAAAUAUUUGAGCCAAUGGACAACCGAGAAGAUGGAAGCGGACGGUGUUCAUUUGUUGCGAAAAGCUAAGAUUGAGGGUGCAAGUUUCGAAGAUAACAAGGUCGCAUUCGACGAAACGACGGUCAAAAGAUUAAAACUGACCAUGUCGUCGCUGCUAUCAGUUUGGACGAGAACACGGAUUUGGCUGUCGCUUCUGGUUUGGAAUUUGGAAAUAUAUUCCAAUUUUGGUGGUUAUCGAGUCAAUGCCGAGCUUGAAGCACAACCAAACGUUUGGGUGGCUGGAGAUGUUGCCUGUUUCUAUUAUUAUAUCAAAUUGGGCCGUCGUCGUGUGGAACAUCAUGACCAUGCUAGUGUAUAAGUAUAACUCUGCCCCGAGUUACAUCACCAAAGAGGCUGAGUACUACACCGAGGUUUUGAAGUACUACACCAUCAAGGUACCGGAGUACUCCACGACUACGUAUGCUGCCCCAGCCUAUUACACCGACGCCCUCAAGUACUACACCGAAAAGGCCGAAUAUUACACAACCGCGUAUGCU